This 464-nucleotide ribosomal RNA is filed under the name uncultured bacterium. RNAcentral describes it as "partial 16S ribosomal RNA". It matches the Rfam family "Bacterial small subunit ribosomal RNA", at positions 338 to 795 of the family's 1533-position model. The record is from RNAcentral.
CCUACGGGAGGCAGCAGUAGGGAAUUUUCGUCAAUGGGCGCAAGCCUGAACUAUCAAUUCCUCUUUAACGAGGAAGGUCUUCUUAUCUUAAAGUUCUGUUGAAGGGGAAAAAGAGCGGAGAGAGGAAAUGGUCUCCGAUUGAUAUUACCCUUCGAGGAAGUCACGGCUAACUACGUGCCAGCAGCCGCGGUAAUACGUAGGUGGCGAGUGUUAUCCGGAAUGAUUGGGCGUAAAGGGUGCGUAGGCGGCCUGCUAAGUCUGGAGUGAAAGGUACCGGCUCAACCGGUACAGGCUCUGGAAACUGGCGGGCUAGAGAGCAGGAGAGGGCGGUGGAACUCCAUGUGUAGCGGUAAAAUGCGUAGAUAUAUGGAAGAACACCAGUGGCGAAGGCGGCCGCCUGGCCUGUUACUGACGCUGAGGCACGAAAGCGUGGGGAGCAAAUAGGAUUAGAUACCCGAGUAGUC